CAAAUUCAGAGAAACCCUGGAAUUAAUAAAAAUGGGCAAUCCUGAGCCAAAUCCUGUUUUCUCAAAACAAGGGUUCAGAGAGCGAAAAAGAGGAUAGGUGCAGAGACUCAAUGGAAGCUGUUCUAACAAAUGGAGUUGACCGCGUUGGUAGAAGAAUCGAAUAUUCAUUAAUCAAAUCAUUCACUCCACAGUCCGAUAGAUCUCUUAAAGAACUUAUUAUUUUAUUCGGACGAGAAUAAAGAUAGAGUCCCGUUCUACAUGUCAAUACCGGCAACAAUGAAACUUAUAGUAAGAGGAAAAUCCGUCGACUUUAAAAAUCGUGAGGGUUCAAGUCCCUCUAUCCCCAAAAAAAUACUAUAAUUGACUCACAAAAUAUUUAUCCUAUCCGCUUUGUUCGUUAACGGUUCAAAAUUCCUUUAUCUUUCUAAUUCUUUUACAAAUGUCUUUGGUCGUAAAUGACUUUCUCUUCUCACAUGUGAUAUAGAAUAUACAUUCAAAGAUUCCUUAUUGGAAUAAUUCACAAUCAAUAUCAUUACGCAUACUGAUACUUACAAAGUCGUAUUUUUAAAGAUCCAAGAGAUUAGAGGACUUGGAGAAAACUUUGUAAUUUUCCCUUGUCCCUUUAAUUGACAUAGACCCCAGUCCU
This 646-nucleotide unclassified non-coding RNA is filed under the name Oreocharis auricula. RNAcentral's name for it is "partial trnL-trnF intergenic spacer region". The stretch from base 1 to 271 matches the Rfam family "Group I catalytic intron", at positions 55 to 253 of the family's 253-position model. Lineage: Eukaryota; Viridiplantae; Streptophyta; Magnoliopsida; Lamiales; Gesneriaceae. The record is from RNAcentral.